RNAcentral lists this unclassified non-coding RNA (272 nucleotides) under Hevea brasiliensis (rubber tree). The record is from RNAcentral. Lineage: Eukaryota; Viridiplantae; Streptophyta; Magnoliopsida; Malpighiales; Euphorbiaceae.
UCCGAGCAGUUCCAAAAACCUCAUAAAACCCCUCGCCCUCAAUUUUAAGAGAGAGACAAAGAGAACCUCGAUUUCUUUUUCAGAGAGAGAAGUGGAGGGAAAAUUACAGCAACCCUCUUGGGGAAAUGGCUACUCAGUUCCCGGACGAUUUCAAGUGCCCGAUUUCUCUCGAGAUAAUGUCCGACCCGGUAAUCCUCUCUUCGGGUCACACCUUUGACCGUGCUUCUAUCCAACGGUGGCUUUACUCCGGCCACCGUACUUGCCCAAUAACU